RNA transcript from Zea mays, 637 nucleotides. It is a transcript of the gene named protein-like pseudogene, with no coding region annotated. NCBI's taxonomy places the organism in Eukaryota, Viridiplantae, Streptophyta, Magnoliopsida, Poales, Poaceae. The record is from RefSeq and is marked validated. The transcript has 3 exons.
AUUCGUUCCAUUUUCCCGUCGGAAACAACCCUGGCCUUAGGAGGCCAGGCGAUUCUCCGCCGCCUCGUCUCGUCUUCGCUAUGCACCAGCACCUCCGUCGCUCCAACGCCCUGAGCGCCUCCGUCGUUUGAUUCCGGUUUGCUUCUGGUUUCUGCCGCACAAGGGCAUCGACGUCGUGCUCUUCGCGCCGGACGACGCCAAGGCCACGCAGACCGCCGACCCGAACAGGAAGAAGAUCAAGCUCCAUGCAGGGCAUCACCCAAGGCCACGCAGACCGCCGGACGACUCCAAGGCCGGAUCUCCGUGCAGCCGUGCAGGGCAUCACCCACAAGAAGAAGAUCAAGCUCCGGCGAGUACCUCUUUCCAUCUCCUGUCGCUGCCUCUACCAUAUCUAUCUAAAGGAACAAAUUUGAGCGCAUCUUCUGUUGACAGUGACUUUAGUUUGCUAUUGGUGCUCCAGUAAGAAAAAUAGAUGUAUUUUGUUGAUGGUGGCUUCACAAUCUGGCACAUGACUCAUGAAAAGCUUUGUUUGACAAACUAUUGUGAAGGAACAAGUAUACUGUCUUUUACUACUUCAGUUUGCUUGACAAACUAUUGUGAUGAUGGAUAAAGUGUGAUGUGAUGAUGGAUAAACCAA